AACAAUAAAGGGUGAAAUGCAGUAAGUAUUACAUUAUUAUUUCAAAUCAAACUUGCCGUUGCUAUAAUUAGUUAAAGUAAACAUAAGCAAACUUUGAAUGUGGGAAUGAAUAAACCACAAAUAAGCUUAAAUUCCCUAUGAAGUGCAUCCACUAUGUCCACUAUGGUCCACUAGAGCUGCGUUCCCCAUGAAGUGCAUCAUGUCCACUAUGGUCCACUAGAGCUGCGUUCCCCAUGAAGUGCAUCAUUUCAUGUUCACUAUGGUCCAGUAGAGCUGCGUUCCCUAUGAAGUGCAUUAGUUCAUGUCCACUAUGAUCCACUAGAGCUGAGCUAACCCUCUUGAGAGUGCUGAUGUCAUAUUCUAAAACUGAUAGUUCCAGUCCUUGAUUGUGAUUGGC
Molecule: long non-coding RNA, 397 nt
Organism: Alosa sapidissima (American shad)
Lineage: Eukaryota; Metazoa; Chordata; Actinopteri; Clupeiformes; Clupeidae
Exons: 2
Source: RefSeq, a predicted model, not a curated record